CCUUCAGAUUUGGGUACCGCGCGCGUGUGUGAUGGUAACAGCAUUGUUUUGUCCCUGCACACUUGUAGACAAACGUUUUUUGGAUAACAUCCUUGGGCAAUUGUUCCGUGAUCUUGCCGGCACCAACAGUGUGCAGCCCUCCUGCUCAAGCCUGCCGGUUGCCCAUGCCGACUAGCCAAUUGCCCAAGGAUGACGCUGGUUCGUUGUCUUCGCUGUGGUGUUUCUGCCAUAGGGAGGGAGGACUUGGAGGAGGAACACAUUGUGGACCUUGCUUUGUUAGAUCCAUCAUCGUCCGCUAACUCCAUGGAAGACUUGGAGGAGGAACACAUUGAGGAUACAUCCAUGGAAGAGAUCUUACUGAAAGUUCAAACUGAACAAAUCAUUGCAUGCCGGGUGCUGAGAAGCAAGAGUCCAACGGCGGUUCAAGACGGGGUUGCUGCUGCUGCUGCUGCCGUGUUGGUCGACAUACGCAGCCAGCUCGGCCAUCAACACUGGCAUGUACAAGAUACAAGACACCAUUGUUGGUAGAUCUGUGUGAGUUGAGUGUAUCUCUGCACUGUAGCUUCCUAGCAGUUUAGUUAACGCAGCCGAAAGAGCAGCAGGCAGCGGUGUCCUCGGCGACACGCUGAUAUUUGAAAUGGUAUCCACCAAUAUGACGACGACUUUCUCGUAGAUCCCUCUCACCGCAUCUCUCCCUCAAUCCCCUAUCUCCACUCAAUUUGCUGAGACGGCUGCAGCCGCUUGUUGCUGCUCCCCGCAGCUCACCCCACCCCAUCACACCCACCCAACUCCCUCGCCACCAGACACCCACACCCACCCAAUCCUCUAAGCCCCCUGAGUCACACGCGCCCGCCAUGCCCUAGACAUCGGCAUCAAAUACCUAUGCCCGUUGUUGGUCCUCGCCAUCCGGAGCACCUGGAGAUGGGCGCCCCCGUCACGCCCGCCAUGUUGCCUCCUGUUGACCCGGGCUGCCAGUGCCCCUUCGCCUCCCUCCCUGCCUCAAUGCACCAGUCGCGGGCAACAACACAAGCAGCAGUCUAGACCGGCACUGCAUGUGGAGGACCUCCUCUACGCCGUCCGCGUCCUGCCUUCAUGUAGCUGCAGCCGUUGUUGGCGACCUUCUAGAAAACUUCCACGAGUUGCGGCCGCCAGCGACGUCCACACCCUUUUACUGCCUUGAUACCACUCCUUCCCGCUGCCAUUGGCCACAUCCCAAACUUGCAGCUGCUAGCAGUCUCGCAACUAAAUAUAUCAGCCAUGUGCAAGGAGAAGACUCACAUUAACAACGUGGCCAUUUGCCAUGUUGACUCUGGCAAGUCGACCACCAUUGGCCAUCUAAGAAGGAAGCCAUUGAGACCCGCCCUCUCCGCACGUUCACUCUUGGAGUGAAGCAGCUUCUACAAAGGACUUGGAGGAGGAACACAUUGAGGACCUUAAUUUGUUAGAUGCAUCAUCGUCCACUAUGUCCAUGGAAGAUCCUAUUGUAAGUUCAAACUGAACAAAGCUUUGCAUGCCGGUUGCUGAGAAGCAAGAGUCCAAUGGCGGUACAAGACGGUGUUGCUGCUGAUGCCGCUGAGUUGGUCGGCACAUGUGGCCAGCUCGGCCAUCAACAGUGGCGACGGCGGGAUGAGGACUUUGAGAAUGUGAAGUGCAGUUGCAAGCCGCUGGAGCUGUCAUGUACAAGAUUGAAGACACCAUUGUUGGUAGAUCUGUGUGAAUUGAGUGUAUCUGUGCACUAUAGCUUCCUAACAGUUUAGUUAACACAGCUGAAAGAGCAGCAGGCAGCGGUGUCCUCAGUGACACGCUGAUAGUUGAAAUGGUAUCCACCAAUAUGACGACGGCCUUCUCGUAGAUCGCUCUCACCGCAUCUCUCCCUCAAUCCCUUUUCUCCACUCAAUUUGCCAACAAAGAAGCAACCGCUCGUUGUUGCUCCCCGCUGCUCACCUCACCUUGCCGCUCUGCGGCCGGCCACCCCACCCCACCGACCCAACUCCCUUGCCACCGGACACCCCACCCACUCAAUCCUCUAAUCGCCAUGAUUCCUGUGCGCCUGCCAUGCCUAGAUGUCAGCGUCAAGAACCUUCACUUGGUGUUGGUCCUCGCCAUACAGAGCGCUUGAAGCUGGGCGCCCCGUCCUGGAAUGACCUGGGCUGGGCGCUCCUGUUGACCUGGGCUGCCGGUGCCCCUUUGCCUUCCUCCCUGCCCUAAUGCACCAGUCGUGAGUAGCGACAUAAGCAGUAGUCGAGACUGGCACUGGAUGUGGAGGACCUCCUUCACGGCAUCGGCGGACGUCUGAAAAACCUCCCCGAGCUGUGGCCGCCAGCGACGUCCGCGGCCUGCUGCUGCCUUGCGACCACUCCUUCCGUCCGAUGUUGGCCACAUCCCGAACUUGCAGCUGCUAGCGGGCUACGCGAGGAUGAUGUGUAUAUCUCCUCCCUAGCAAGGUUGAACCAGGCCCCAUCUACCUGCUCAACACUGGUGCCAAGGAGAAGCCCCUGCAUGAACAUGAACAUCAAGACCAUUGUUCACUGUAUGAAUCAACCAGCCCUUCUUCCUUUUCCCCGUUGAUGGUCGUCCAAGAUAAGACCCGACUCUCCUGAUCGAUGCCUUGGUUGUCGAAAUAUCUGGCCGCUGUAGUAUCGGGGUAGUGUGGUUGGGCAUAUCUAGGCUGGAUACGUAAGAACGAGGCAACAUCCAAGGCACAUCGACUAGAGGGGAUCACAAUGUCAUGCCUUUUUGGUGGACAAUGUUCAUUUGCUCCUGAGUGAUGACCCGUUGCUUUUUCCUCACCAUGAUGUCAAGCUUCCUGAAUAUUCUGAUUGCUACGUCCACCGUCUGAUGUGGGAUGUGCAAGUAGCACACUGGCCAGCUAGGCCGAUUGGAGCAGCAGGGGCAUUGCAUCUCACCGGCCUGUGGUGACCGCAGCAGCCCUCUUGUUGUUGUCGAUGCUGGAUGGUGUCCUCUUGCUUGGACAUAGUUGGUAACCCCAGCAUGCUGCUGCUCCCUGUGUUCAUCGAGUAUGGCACUAGCUUACAGGUCAUGUUCUUAUCAGUUUCUCGUGAUAAUAUUUACAUUGGCAUAGAAAUAUUCUUUGACAAUGAACUUCUUGAAACGAUACUUAGUGGUUUCAUCAUAUUUGUAGGAAUCAGUUACUUUUUUGAAUUUAUAGUAGCUACUGUUUUUUUUACAAAGCGACUUAUGCAUCAUCGAGUUAUUUUGGUACCAUUUAUUGAUUUGAUAUUUGUUGAUAUAUUCACUUAUUAGUUGUCGUGAUCUUCUGAAUCUUACAAAAGUUUUUAAUAUUCAGAGUUGAUAUGUGCUGCAGUCCCUCACCAACAACCUCUGCCACACACAAGUCUUUUCCAGUUCUUUCCUAUCCUGUUUUAGAUAGAUGAAUGUGUGUUUUCUUCUUUGUUGUUGUGCUAAAAACGAGGACUAAAUAGCAAGCAAGUUGUGACCAAUAGCUACACUACUUGGAACUGGAGGUCCUAGGGUCAACAGAGGCAUGCCUUAGUCUCCUCAUCUGGCAGAUGCUUCUCCCUUUUUGAUGAUAAUGAUCAGUUGCACAAUGCGUGGACUUCUUGCAGCAGCAACGCAUGCAGCUGUAGCAGCAGUAGCAGCGCGAGAUUGACAUCUUCCCACCACAAAUUAUCUAGGUGCAGCCCAACUCUGGGAAGGCUGCCAACAAGCAUGUUGUAGCAAUGUGGCAGCUGAAAAGCUCUAGGUCGUCUUGCUUUCAUUGAAAAUUCUUCAUGCUUGAAAUGUUCACUUUAGGUAGAUACACUGCCAUUACUUGUUGGCAACACACGAUCACAAGUUAGCUUUUCUGUCUCUUAUUGAUGGAGUAUCAAGCAUACUUGAUGCAUACAUGCCUUUCUGUGACUUCUUUCUAGCCAAUUAUUUUUGUCCAAAUUAUCGGAAAUUUUUCAUGUAAAAUUAUUGGAAUUUUUUCUUGUAAAAUUAUUGGUAAUGAUGUUUCACAGUUCAUGUUCUGUGAUCAAUUCAUUCAUUCAAAUAUACCGGCUGCCCCUUUCUUAUUUUGGUUACUAUUUUUUGUUCUUUUACAAGAUUUAUCUUUUGAAAUGAUGAAUACUAGUAGCACUACAUUUAUAGGCAGCAGUAGCACUACAUGUACCAAUUUUUAAGUAUUAUUACUACUAUGACAAGUUUUCCUUCUGAAAUUAUGCCGUUCGCAGACAGUAAUUCACCAGUCACCAUGCCUAGUUUUGCUUCGACAUCUUACUGAUUUUCUUUUAUUAUCUGGAAGUUAAGUAGUGUCUUUCCUCAGGUGAAUCUUGGCAACUAUUUGGCUUCAAGAAUACAAAGCAUGGGAAACUUUUUAAAUGGCCUCUGCAUUGUCUUCGAGGUUUAGGUGCCCUUUGUUUCUCAUUGGUGUUGAAGGUUAUGGGUAAAGGCAGUUUGAUGUUCAGCUGGAGUAUAUCUAUCCAAUUUAAUUUUCCGUCAAGGACCUCCAGAAAUCCUUGAAGGCACUGACGGAGUGGUGGACAGUGAGGGCAUAGACUCGUAGAUGAUGAGCAGUUGGCUGCACUACACCCCCUGCAUAGUCAUACAAUUCGGUGAAGUAUCUGAGCUCGGAUGAGGGCGUGGAGGAAGAAGAUUAGCUGGAGUUUGAAGAGAAGGAUGAGUUUUAGUCAUUUGUCUGUCUUCCCGGUCAUGAGUUCUUGCUACUAGCUAGUGUCCUGUGUAAUAUAGUUGACUGCGAAAAUGUUAUGAUUUAUGUGUUUUUGCUGUGGCUGGGGCUAUGUAUGCAUAGUGCCUUACUUAGGUUUCCACCAUGUAGCUGGUGUGUGGCGAUCUACUACGUACAUGUAGAUAGCGUGUGUGCGUGUGUAAAAUCAAAUAAAUGCUUCUGUUAUGCUGAAAGCUUUCAGCAAUGCUUAUUUGGUUCACUAAGGGUGAUGUAACAAUAGAUAUUUCAAUGGUUUGAAGCAAAAAAAAAAUGCAUAA
Long non-coding RNA from Lolium rigidum, 4968 nucleotides. RefSeq lists it as uncharacterized. The record is from RefSeq and is a predicted model, not a curated record. The transcript is spliced from 15 exons. Lineage: Eukaryota; Viridiplantae; Streptophyta; Magnoliopsida; Poales; Poaceae.